This 1396-nucleotide ribosomal RNA is filed under the name uncultured bacterium. Its description in RNAcentral is "bacterial SSU rRNA". It matches the Rfam family "Bacterial small subunit ribosomal RNA". The record is from RNAcentral.
ACGUACGCUGGCGGCACGCCUAAUACAUGCAAGUCGAACGAAGUAGCAAUACUUAGUGGCAGACGGGUGAGUAACAUGUGGGUAUCUUCCCUUUGGUGAGGAAUAACACGAGGAAACUUGUGCUAAUACCUCAUAAGUCUUUACGGAGAAAGCUUUAUGCGCCAUUGGAUGAGCCCGCACUUGAUUAGUUUGUUGGUAGGGUAAUGGCCUACCAAGACUGUGAUCAAUAGCUGAUUUGAGAGGAUGAUCAGCCACAUUGGGACUGAGACACGGCCCAAACUCCUACGGGAGGCAGCAGUAGGGAAUCUUGCACAAUGGAGGAAACUCUGAUGCAGCGAUGCCGCGUGAGUGAAGAAGGCCUUUGGGUUGUAAAGCUCUUUCGUCGGGGAAGAAAAUGACUGUACCCGAAUAAGAAGGUCCGGCUAACUUCGUGCCAGCAGCCGCGGUAAUACGAAGGGACCUAGCGUAGUUCGGAAUUACUGGGCUUAAAGAGUUCGUAGGUGGUUAAAAUAGUUGGUGGUGAAAUCCCAGAGCUUAACUCUGGAACUGCCAUCAAAACUUUUUAGCUAGAGUAUGAUAGAGGAAAGCAGAAUUUCUAGUGUAGAGGUGAAAUUCGUAGAUAUUAGAAAGAAUACCGAUUGCGAAGGCAGCUUUCUGGAUCAUUACUGACACUGAGGAACGAAAGCAUGGGUAGCGAAGAGGAUUAGAUACCCUCGUAGUCCAUGCCGUAAACGAUGUGUGUUAGACGUUGGAAAUUUAUUUUCAGUGUCGCAGCGAAAGCGAUAAACACACCGCCUGGGGAGUACGACCGCAAGGUUAAAACUCAAAUGAAUUGACGGGGACCCGCACAAGUAGUGGAGCAUGUGGUUUAAUUCGAAGAUACGCGCAGAACCUUACCAACACUUGACAUGUUCGUCGCGACUCUAAGAGAUUAGAGUUUUCGGUUCGGCCGGACGAAACACAGGUGCUGCAUGGCUGUCGUCAGCUCGUGUCGUGAGAUGUUGGGUUAAGUCCCGCAACGAGCGCAACCCUCACUUUUAGUUGCCAUCAUUAAGUUGGGCACUCUGAAAGAACUGCCAGUGAUAAGCUGGAGGAAGGUGGGGAUGACGUCAAGUCCUCAUGGCCCUUACGUGUUGGGCUACACACGUGCUACAAUGGCAUUUACAAUAGGAAGCAAAAUGGCGACAUUAAGCAAAUCCUAAAAAAAUGCCUCAGUUCGGAUUGUACUCUGCAACUCGAGUACAUGAAGCUGGAAUUACUAGUAAUCGCGGAUCAGCGCGCCGCGGUGAAUACGUUCCCGGGUCUUGUACACACCGCCCGUCACACCAUGGGAGUUGGUUCUACCUUAAGGCAAAGUUUAAAACCUUUGACCACGGUAUAGUCAGCGACUGGGGUG